AUGUUUAUCUUGUAGGGGAGAUCCCUUGAUCCUGUAACAAGGGGGAAGUUACAGGAAGAGGUAUGUCCAUUGCACUUUGGGUAUGUUGACUUCUGUGCUUUAUUCCCACGUUGAAAAGUUUUCUGCUGAAUUUUUGGUAUUUAGCAAUUACAUUCAUGUUUUCUCUUG
This is a non-coding RNA of Chelonoidis abingdonii (Abingdon island giant tortoise), 168 nucleotides long. The record is from RefSeq and is a predicted model, not a curated record. NCBI's taxonomy places the organism in Eukaryota, Metazoa, Chordata, Testudines, Testudinidae.